This 755-nucleotide long non-coding RNA is filed under the name Cyanistes caeruleus (blue tit). Its description in RNAcentral is "lncRNA (ENSCCEG00000020632.1)". Lineage: Eukaryota; Metazoa; Chordata; Aves; Passeriformes; Paridae. The record is from RNAcentral.
AUUAUAGUUCAGUGUCUAGGUCAGAUAUAAUUAGAUGUUACAUUAAAAUAGCUUCACAGAGCCAUUUAUUCUGAUUUAAUUACUUAAAAUGAUAAUAUAAUGAGCAGUGCUUUCAAAGAAAAAAAGAAAUCUUUUAAUGAGCUCAUUUUAAGUUAAUAUAAGGCAAAUUAAUCAUUUAACAAAAUGCGAUAUACCUGCUGUGCCAGAGCCCUUUGAAAUACAACCUGAGCAACAGAUUUAUGACCAUCAAACUGUGUUUUUAUUCCAAUGUGGAGCAGAGCAAUAGCCAUGCAGAGCAGUCACCCGAGGAGCAGGAGCGUUUCCAAGCGUGCAAUUACUGGAGUGAAAGCAGGCAGCUCUGUGCAGGGAAGGAGCAGCCUGUGGUUCAUAACCCUGCCAGCAGCCCCAGCCCUCCCCUUGUCCCACCGGGCACCCCACACAGCCCCCAGCAAAGGUGUGCCCACCUCCAGAGCCGGCCCAUUCCUCUGCCAACAGCACUCCCUGCGCUUCCACAGGCACUUAAAUAAACAUUUAUACAGGGGCUAAGAGCAAGGCAAGACAGACGGAGUGGUUUGCAGCUCGUGUCCCAGCCACUCACCUCUUCUAUCCUAACCUGGAACUUCAGCCUAGCUAAGCCAGCAAGGAAAACCUGGAGAUACUUGUGGAGGAGGUAAAGGGGAGGGGUCCUGCUCCCAAGACUCAUUUCUUUCUCUCAACACAGACCUGCCUCAAUAAAAGAUUUUCAUACAUUUCCA